GACGAACGCUGGCGGCGCGCCUAACACAUGCAAGUCGAACGAGCGAGAGAGAGCUUGCUUUCUCGAGCGAGUGGCGAACGGGUGAGUAACGCGUGAGGAACCUGCCUCAAAGAGGGGGACAACAGUUGGAAACGACUGCUAAUACCGCAUAAGCCCACGGCUCGGCAUCGAGCAGAGGGAAAAGGAGCAAUCCGCUUUGAGAUGGCCUCGCGUCCGAUUAGCUAGUUGGUGAGGUAAUGGCCCACCAAGGCGACGAUCGGUAGCCGGACUGAGAGGUUGAACGGCCACAUUGGGACUGAGACACGGCCCAGACUCCUACGGGAGGCAGCAGUGGGGAAUAUUGCACAAUGGGGGAAACCCUGAUGCAGCGACGCCGCGUGGAGGAAGAAGGUCUUCGGAUUGUAGACUCCUGUUGUUGAGGAAGAUAAUGACGGUACUCAACAAGAAAGUGACGGCUAACUACGUGCCAGCAGCCGCGGUAAAACGUAGGUCACAAGCGUUGUCCGGAAUUACUGGGUGUAAAGGGAGCGCAGGCGGGAAGACAAGUUGGAAGUGAAAUCCAUGGGCUCAACCCAUGAACUGCUUUCAAAACUGUUUUUCUUGAGUAGUGCAGAGGUAGGCGGAAUUCCCGGUGUAGCGGUGGAAUGCGUAGAUAUCGGGAGGAACACCAGUGGCGAAGGCGGCCUACUGGGCACCAACUGACGCUGAGGCUCGAAAGUGUGGGUAGCAAACAGGAUUAGAUACCCUGGUAGUCCACACUGUAAACGAUGAUUACUAGGUGUUGGAGGAUUGACCCCUUCAGUGCCGCAGUUAACACAAUAAGUAAUCCACCUGGGGAGUACGACCGCAAGGUUGAAACUCAAAGGAAUUGACGGGGGCCCGCACAAGCAGUGGAGUAUGUGGUUUAAUUCGACGCAACGCGAAGAACCUUACCAAGUCUUGACAUCCCUUGACGAUGCUGGAAACAGUAUUUCUCUUCGGAGCAAGGAGACAGGUGGUGCAUGGUUGUCGUCAGCUCGUGUCGUGAGAUGUUGGGUUAAGUCCCGCAACGAGCGCAACCCUUAUGGUCAGUUACUACGCAAGAGGACUCUGGCCAGACUGCCGUUGACAAAACGGAGGAAGGUGGGGAUGACGUCAAAUCAUCAUGCCCUUUAUGACUUGGGCUACACACGUACUACAAUGGCGUUAAACAAAGAGAAGCAAGACCGCGAGGUGGAGCAAAACUCAGAAACAACGUCCCAGUUCGGACUGCAGGCUGCAACUCGCCUGCACGAAGUCGGAAUUGCUAGUAAUCGCAGAUCAGCAUGCUGCGGUGAAUACGUUCCCGGGCCU
Molecule: ribosomal RNA, 1332 nt
Filed under: uncultured bacterium
Lineage: Bacteria
Description: bacterial SSU rRNA
Rfam family: Bacterial small subunit ribosomal RNA
Source: RNAcentral